AUGUCUCCACUCAGGGCUGAUACCACACAGUCUGCUCCCCUACUCUGGUCUGGAGAAGUGGGCAAAAUCUUGCUCAUUAAAAGCAAGCGCAGGGAGCAGAUGGGAACCAUUACAACUCAGAGAGCCAAAGGAAGAGGAAAGCCUGAGGUUCUGCUGCCCCUGCAAGUGCUCACAGGACAGCCACCAGCACCAGACACCUGUCCCCAGAGCAGUGGGACGGCGCAGGUGCUAUGGAGGGCCCACCAAAGUCUUGGGAGCCGAAGGACUGAAGUAGAUGACGGCAUGAAAGGUGAGUGUAAAUGCGGCAGUGAAGUCCUCUGCACCCUUAGGUGGUGAC
Molecule: long non-coding RNA, 337 nt
Filed under: Fukomys damarensis (Damara mole-rat)
Lineage: Eukaryota; Metazoa; Chordata; Mammalia; Rodentia; Bathyergidae
Description: lncRNA (ENSFDAG00000032458.1)
Source: RNAcentral